This 851-nucleotide long non-coding RNA is filed under the name Olea europaea subsp. europaea. Lineage: Eukaryota; Viridiplantae; Streptophyta; Magnoliopsida; Lamiales; Oleaceae. The record is from RNAcentral.
UAUAGAGAAAAAUAAUAAUUUUUUUUUCGGAGUAUUAAAAUUAAAGUGUUAAAUAUAAAGAGUUUGUUGAAGUUUUAACUUUUCUAAAUUUAUAGAUAAUGUUCAAAUAAUAAAAUAUGAUUUUUAAAAAUAAAAAAGUCUCUUACAACGCGGAAAGUCAUAUGCCGACUCUUUAUUAUGCUAGUAGAACGCUAGGUGCGGCCCCUCAAUUCAAAAUUGACUUGUUUGUUGCCGUGUGUAGAACGUCAUGUUCAUGUUAGAUGUUGACCAAAUUAACUGGGCUUUUUGGAGUUGCACUAUAGAAGCGAAUUUGGCCGGCAAGAAUGAAAAAAAGACAUUACAAUUUUAUUGAAUUCCAAAAGGCACAUUUUUACUUGGCUAUAUUUGGUUUAGUUAUAAAAGUGAAUUAUCGAAAAUUAAGUUUAAUCACGUAUUUAUGGAACUUAUAUUUUUCAGAUAUACAUUUCAUCAACUUUUAUCAGUAUCUACUAAUUUUUUUAUUUUAUCUAAAUCAAACAGAGAUUUAAUCUAAUAUGUUACCAUGUGAAAAUCAAAACAUUAAGGUGUUAGAAUGAAUACACACACACUGACAAACAUAUAUAUUGUACAUAGCUCAUAUUUGGUAGAGAUUAAAAUCAGAAAUUGAUUGUUAAUUUUGAUUUAAAUUAAAAUUUUAAUAUUAAUCGAUAUCAAAUAAGGGCAUAGUGCGUGCGCAGGUAUACUUACUCUAGCAAGCCUUGUUUCUUGCUCAGAAGAAAAGCUUACAAAAGGCUUACAGAAUACACACAAUGGGAGUAGGUGAAGUUUUUCUGACAAUAUUUUAAUCAUAUGGGAUCCACCGUGAGUAUCUA